RNAcentral lists this ribosomal RNA (245 nucleotides) under uncultured bacterium. Its description in RNAcentral is "partial 16S ribosomal RNA". It matches the Rfam family "Bacterial small subunit ribosomal RNA", at positions 524 to 768 of the family's 1533-position model. The record is from RNAcentral.
UACGUAGGAAGCAAGCGUUGUCCGGAUUUAUUGGGCGUAAAGCGCGCGCAGGCGGCGUGCCAAGUUGGUUGUGAAAUUCCUCGGCUUAACCGAGGCGGGUCAACCAAAACUGGUAGGCUAGAGUGCAGCAGAGGAAAGCGGAAUUCCCGGUGUAGUGGUGAAAUGCGUAGAUAUCGGGAGGAACACCAGAGGCGAAAGCGGCUUUCUGGGCUGUAACUGACGCUGAGGCGCGAAGGCUAGGGGAG